ACUCCGGAAUGGGGCAACCCGGCGGGCGCACGGCCCGUCACCGGUGAGAACCGGGAGGGAACCGCGGGAAGUGAAACAUCUGAGUACCGCGAGGAGAAGAGAGGAUUCCCCGAGUAGCGGCGAGCGAACGGGGAGGAGCCCAAACCUGUGAGGCGAACGAGCUGACUGGCGCUGCCUCACGGGGGUUGAACGAGCGUGAUGGAGGGGGCAGUUGACCCCUCGCGCGGGUGUGUGGUAGAGAGCGGAAGGCCGCUGGAACGGGCCAUCGCAGAGGGUGAGAAUCCCGUACGCAAACCUCCAGGCAUCUGGGUGAUCAUGGAUCGUGAGUACCGCCGGACACGAGAAAUCCGGCGGGAAGCGGGGCGGACCACCGCCCAAGGCUAAAUACCGCCAUCGACCGAUAGUGAACCAGUACCGUGAGGGGAACGGUGAAAAGCACCCCGGCGAGGGGAGUGAAACAGAUCCUGAAACCCUGCGCUUCCGGCCGGUCGGAGCCCCCCACGCAAGUGAUGGGGUGACGGCGUGCCUUUUUGUAGAAUGAGC
RNAcentral lists this ribosomal RNA (543 nucleotides) under uncultured bacterium. Its description in RNAcentral is "bacterial LSU rRNA". It matches the Rfam family "Bacterial large subunit ribosomal RNA", at positions 110 to 620 of the family's 2925-position model. The record is from RNAcentral.